This 261-nucleotide ribosomal RNA is filed under the name uncultured prokaryote. RNAcentral describes it as "partial 16S ribosomal RNA". It matches the Rfam family "Bacterial small subunit ribosomal RNA", at positions 524 to 784 of the family's 1533-position model. The record is from RNAcentral.
UACGGAGGAUCCGAGCGUUAUCCGGAUUUAUUGGGUUUAAAGGGUGCGUAGGUGGAUUGGUAAGUCAGUGGUGGAAGUUUGCAGCUUAACUGUAAAAUUGCCGUUGAAACUGCCGGUCUUGAGUGCAAAUGAGGUAGGCGGAAUGCGUCGUGUAGCGGUGAAAUGCUUAGAUAUGACGCAGAACUCCGAUUGCGAAGGCAGCUUACUGGGAUGCAACUGACGCUGAGGCACGAAAGCGUGGGUAUCAAACAGGAUUAGAUA